RNAcentral lists this non-coding RNA (28 nucleotides) under Rattus norvegicus (Norway rat). The record is from RNAcentral. Lineage: Eukaryota; Metazoa; Chordata; Mammalia; Rodentia; Muridae.
UCCAAGGGCCCUUCCCAUCACACAGUGC